This 201-nucleotide long non-coding RNA is filed under the name Serinus canaria (Common canary). RNAcentral describes it as "lncRNA (ENSSCAG00000001038.1)". Lineage: Eukaryota; Metazoa; Chordata; Aves; Passeriformes; Fringillidae. The record is from RNAcentral.
CCGCUCGCCUCCGACACCAGGGACUGUGAGAGCCGCCAGCGCACCGCCGCCUGCUAACCACUCACUGCUAAUUAAUUGCUGACUUCACUCUGCCGGCUUUGAACUCUCAACAGUUUUUUUUCCAGUUUGAGGCAGCUGCAUCAUGAUGUGUUGGAUGAGUCAGUGGGCAAUGAGGGAGAAGUGGAGACCCAGGUGCUGAGG